RNAcentral lists this ribosomal RNA (157 nucleotides) under Pratylenchus goodeyi. RNAcentral describes it as "5.8S ribosomal RNA". It matches the Rfam family "5.8S ribosomal RNA". Rfam says of the family: 5.8S ribosomal RNA (5.8S rRNA) is a component of the large subunit of the eukaryotic ribosome. The record is from RNAcentral. Lineage: Eukaryota; Metazoa; Nematoda; Chromadorea; Rhabditida; Pratylenchidae.
UCAGUCUUACCGGUGGAUCACUCGGUUCGUGGAUCGAUGAAGAACGCAGCAAACUGCGAUAAGUAGCGUGAAUUGCAGACGCUUUGAACGCCAAACUUUCGAACGCACAUUGCGCCGUAGGAGUCCUACCCUACGGCACAUCUGGUUGAGGGUCGUG